RNAcentral lists this ribosomal RNA (463 nucleotides) under uncultured bacterium. RNAcentral describes it as "bacterial SSU rRNA". It matches the Rfam family "Bacterial small subunit ribosomal RNA", at positions 917 to 1382 of the family's 1533-position model. The record is from RNAcentral.
GGACUCGCACAAGCGGUGGAGCAUGCGGUUUAAUUCGAUGCAACGCGAAGAACCUUACCAGGUCUUGACAUACUGUUGCUGGGGUUAGAGAUAAUCCGUUUCUUCGGAACAACAGAUACAGGUGGUGCAUGGUUGUCGUCAGCUCGUGUCGUGAGAUGUUGGGUUAAGUCCCGCAACGAGCGCAACCCUUAUCAUUAGUUGCUAACAGUAAGAUGAGCACUCUAAUGAGACCGCCGGCGCAAGCCGGAUGAAGGUGGGGAUGACGUCAAAUCAUCAUGCCCCUUAUGACCUGGGCUACACGCGUGCUACAAUGGCUAGUACAAAGAGUUGCGAAGCCGCGAGGUGGAGCUAAUCUCACAAAGCUAGUCUCAGUUCGGAUUGUAGUCUGCAACUCGACUACAUGAAGUUGGAAUCGCUAGUAAUCGUGAAUCAGCAUGUCACGGUGAAUACGUUCUCGAGUCUU